RNAcentral lists this ribosomal RNA (500 nucleotides) under uncultured bacterium. RNAcentral's name for it is "partial 16S ribosomal RNA". It matches the Rfam family "Bacterial small subunit ribosomal RNA", at positions 30 to 523 of the family's 1533-position model. The record is from RNAcentral.
AUUGAACGCUGGCGGAAUGCUUUACACAUGCAAGUCGAACGGCAGCACGGACUUCGGUCUGGUGGCGAGUGGCGAACGGGUGAGUAAUGUAUCGGAACGUGCCCAGUCGUGGGGGAUAACGUAGUGAAAAUUACGCUAAUACCGCAUACGAUCUAUGAAUGAAAGCGGGGGAUCGCAAGACCUCGCGCGAUUGGAGCGGCCGAUAUCAGAUUAGGUAGUUGGUGGGGUAAAGGCCCACCAAGCCAACGAUCUGUAGCUGGUCUGAGAGGACGACCAGCCACACUGGAACUGAGACACGGUCCAGACUCCUACGGGAGGCAGCAGUGGGGAAUUUUGGACAAUGGGCGAAAGCCUGAUCCAGCCAUUCCACGUGCAGGAUGAAGGCCCUCGGGUUGUAAACUGCUUUUGUACAGAACGAAAAGGUUUCUACUAAUACUAGGAGCUCAUGACGGUACUGCAAGAAUAAGCACCGGCUAACUACGUGCCAGCCGCCGCAGUAA